This 780-nucleotide ribosomal RNA is filed under the name uncultured cyanobacterium. RNAcentral's name for it is "bacterial SSU rRNA". It matches the Rfam family "Bacterial small subunit ribosomal RNA", at positions 8 to 796 of the family's 1533-position model. Lineage: Bacteria; Bacillati; Cyanobacteriota. The record is from RNAcentral.
AGAGUUUGAUCCUGGCUCAGGACGAACGCUGACGGUGUGCUUUAGACAUGCAAGUCGAACGAGAAAGCCCUUCGGGGUGAGUACAGUGGCGAACGGGUGAGUAACACGUGGGUAACCUGCCCCUCGCAGAGGGACAACCGGGGGAAACCCCGGCUAAUACCUCGUACGCUUGCCGGGCCGCAUGGCUCGGUAAGGAAAGGUAGCUUCGGCUAUCCGGCGAGGGAUGGGCCCGCGGUCCAUUAGCUAGUUGGUGAGGUAACGGCCCACCAAGGCGACGAUGGAUAGCUGGUCUGAGAGGACGAUCAGCCACACUGGGACUGAGACACGGCCCAGACUCCUACGGGAGGCAGCAGUGGGGAAUUUUCCGCAAUGGGCGAAAGCCUGACGGAGCAAGACCGCGUGAGGGAGGAAGGCUCUUGGGUUGUAAACCUCUUUUGUCAGGGAAGAACACAAUGACGGUACCUGAAGAAUCAGCAUCGGCUAACUCCGUGCCAGCAGCCGCGGUAAUACGGGGGAUGCAAGCGUUAUCCGGAAUUAUUGGGCGUAAAGCGUCCGCAGGUGGCUAAUCAAGUCUGCUGUCAAAGGUUGGGGCUUAACCCCAAAAAGGCAGUGGAAACUGAGAAGCUAGAGUGCAGUAGGGGUAGAGGGAAUUCCCGGUGUAGCGGUGAAAUGCGUAGAGAUCGGGAAGAACAUCGGUGGCGAAAGCGCUCUACUGGACUGCAACUGACACUCAGGGACGAAAGCUAGGGGAGCGAAUGGGAUUAGAUACCCCCGUAGUCC